This 816-nucleotide ribosomal RNA is filed under the name Escherichia coli. RNAcentral describes it as "partial 23S ribosomal RNA". It matches the Rfam family "Bacterial large subunit ribosomal RNA", at positions 418 to 1232 of the family's 2925-position model. The record is from RNAcentral. Lineage: Bacteria; Pseudomonadati; Pseudomonadota; Gammaproteobacteria; Enterobacterales; Enterobacteriaceae.
CGGGACACGUGGUAUCCUGUCUGAAUAUGGGGGGACCAUCCUCCAAGGCUAAAUACUCCUGACUGACCGAUAGUGAACCAGUACCGUGAGGGAAAGGCGAAAAGAACCCCGGCGAGGGGAGUGAAAAAGAACCUGAAACCGUGUACGUACAAGCAGUGGGAGCACAGAGCAAUCUGUGUGACUGCGUACCUUUUGUAUAAUGGGUCAGCGACUUAUAUUCUGUAGCAAGGUUAACCGAAUAGGGGAGCCGAAGGGAAACCGAGUCUUAACUGGGCGUUAAGUUGCAGGGUAUAGACCCGAAACCCGGUGAUCUAGCCAUGGGCAGGUUGAAGGUUGGGUAACACUAACUGGAGGACCGAACCGACUAAUGUUGAAAAAUUAGCGGAUGACUUGUGGCUGGGGGUGAAAGGCCAAUCAAACCGGGAGAUAGCUGGUUCUCCCCGAAAGCUAUUUAGGUAGCGCCUCGUGAAUUCAUCUCCGGGGGUAGAGCACUGUUUCGGCAAGGGGGUCAUCCCGACUUACCAACCCGAUGCAAACUGCGAAUACCGGAGAAUGUUAUCACGGGAGACACACGGCGGGUGCUAACGUCCGUCGUGAAGAGGGAAACAACCCAGACCGCCAGCUAAGGUCCCAAAGUCAUGGUUAAGUGGGAAACGAUGUGGGAAGGCCCAGACAGCCAGGAUGUUGGCUUAGAAGCAGCCAUCAUUUAAAGAAAGCGUAAUAGCUCACUGGUCGAGUCGGCCUGCGCGGAAGAUGUAACGGGGCUAAACCAUGCACCGAAGCUGCGGCAGCGACGCUUAUGCGUUGUUGGGUAGG